CAACACGAGACCCGUCAAAUGGUGGUUCCUUCUCUCCUGCCUGUGUGAAAACGUAUGACAGUAGUUUAAAGUGUCUGGCUGUGAGAUACCAUAGGAUGCUUUGUCAUCAUGGCAUCACCAACGUAUUUCCCAUGUUAUUUAUAUGCAUUGUAUUAGUUUUUCUUCUAAUCUGGGGACUUUCCCCCAUAUUGCAUUGUAUUUGAAAGUGGAAACCAGUAAGAAAAUUCUAGUUACUAAUUACUAACUUGUGGGAUUCAACUGACUUGUUAACAGUGCAUCAUCAGGGAAACAUUUGAAGGGUAAAAUCCCAGAUGAGCUUAAGCACUUGGAUGGUUUAACAGAGUUGUGGCUGGAUGGUAACUCCUUAAGUGGGUCAAUCCCCGACAUAAGUAACCUCCUAAAUUUGACCAUUGUGCAUCUAGAGAACAACAGACUGACUGGUCCAAUACCUUCUUACUUUGGAGAUUUUCCAAGCUUACGAGAAUUGUAUAUCCAGAAUAACUCUUUAAAUGGGGAAAUACCUCCAUCACUGUUAACUGGAAAAUUGGUAUUCAAGUAUG
Macadamia integrifolia is the source of this 560-nucleotide long non-coding RNA. RefSeq lists it as uncharacterized. The record is from RefSeq and is a predicted model, not a curated record. The transcript has 4 exons. NCBI's taxonomy places the organism in Eukaryota, Viridiplantae, Streptophyta, Magnoliopsida, Proteales, Proteaceae.